GAGUUUGAUCUUGGCUCAGAUUGAACGCUGGCGGCAGGCCUAACACAUGCAAGUCGAGCGGUAGAGAGAAGCUUGCUUCUCUUGAGAGCGGCGGACGGGUGAGUAAUGCCUAGGAAUCUGCCUGGUAGUGGGGGAUAACGCUCGGAAACGGACGCUAAUACCGCAUACGUCCUACGGGAGAAAGCAGGGGACCUUCGGGCCUUGCGCUAUCAGAUGAGCCUAGGUCGGAUUAGCUAGUUGGUGAGGUAAUGGCUCACCAAGGCGACGAUCCGUAACUGGUCUGAGAGGAUGAUCAGUCACACUGGAACUGAGACACGGUCCAGACUCCUACGGGAGGCAGCAGUGGGGAAUAUUGGACAAUGGGCGAAAGCCUGAUCCAGCCAUGCCGCGUGUGUGAAGAAGGUCUUCGGAUUGUAAAGCACUUUAAGUUGGGAGGAAGGGCAGUAAAUUAAUACUUUGCUGUUUUGACGUUACCGACAGAAUAAGCACCGGCUAACUCUGUGCCAGCCGACC
This 513-nucleotide ribosomal RNA is filed under the name uncultured bacterium. RNAcentral's name for it is "bacterial SSU rRNA". It matches the Rfam family "Bacterial small subunit ribosomal RNA", at positions 9 to 517 of the family's 1533-position model. The record is from RNAcentral.